Molecule: small nuclear RNA, 115 nt
Rfam family: U5 spliceosomal RNA
About the family: U5 RNA is a component of both types of known spliceosome. The precise function of this molecule is unknown, though it is known that the 5' loop is required for splice site selection and p220 binding, and that both the 3' stem-loop and the Sm site are important for Sm protein binding and cap methylation.
UCCAGCGAUGCCCACCUCUUACGUUAUACAUCAUUCGCCUUUUACUAACGAUGUCACGGAGUGCGCAUCUAAUGUUGAGACUUCUAGAAUUUCUUUCCACUCUACUUCGAGUAUA